GAUGAACGCUGGCGGCGUGCCUAAUACAUGCAAGUCGAGCGAACAGACGAGGAGCUUGCUCCUCUGACGUUAGCGGCGGACGGGUGAGUAACACGUGGAUAACCUACCUAUAAGACUGGGAUAACUUCGGGAAACCGGAGCUAAUACCGGAUAAUAUAUUGAACCGCAUGGUUCAAUAGUGAAAGACGGUUUUGCUGUCACUUAUAGAUGGAUCCGCGCCGCAUUAGCUAGUUGGUAAGGUAACGGCUUACCAAGGCAACGAUGCGUACCCGACCUGAGAGGGUGAUCGGCCACACUGGAACUGAGACACGGUCCAGACUCCUACGGGAGGCAGCAGUAGGGAAUCUUCCGCAAUGGGCGAAAGCCUGACGGAGCAACGCCGCGUGAGUUAUGAAGGCCUUCGGAUCGUAAAACUCUGCUAUUAGGGAAGAACAAAUGUGUAAGUAACUAUGCACGUCUUGACGGUACCUAAUCAGAAGGCCACGGCUAACUACGUG
RNAcentral lists this ribosomal RNA (497 nucleotides) under uncultured bacterium. RNAcentral describes it as "partial 16S ribosomal RNA". It matches the Rfam family "Bacterial small subunit ribosomal RNA", at positions 28 to 507 of the family's 1533-position model. The record is from RNAcentral.